GGCUGUUGAAUGCACAGAAGCAAGGAUAACACUGAUUUUUUCACUGGUCAGAAUAAAAAUUAUUGAUUGCUCUUUUGCUUGUAGUAUUCAUCAAGAUGAAUAGGCUCCUUCAAAAUGCUUUGCUCUAUGGUUUUUCUUUCAGCUGUUUCAGUGCAGGGCUUCCUAAAACAGAAGCCAACUGGGUGAAUGUAAUAAGUGAUUUGAAAAAAAUUGAAGAUCUUAUUCAAUCUAUGCAUAUUGAUGCUACUUUAUAUACGGAAAGUGAUGUUCAC
Molecule: small RNA, 272 nt
Filed under: Pan troglodytes (chimpanzee)
Lineage: Eukaryota; Metazoa; Chordata; Mammalia; Primates; Hominidae
Description: retained intron
Source: RNAcentral